This 787-nucleotide ribosomal RNA is filed under the name uncultured bacterium. RNAcentral describes it as "bacterial SSU rRNA". It matches the Rfam family "Bacterial small subunit ribosomal RNA", at positions 556 to 1338 of the family's 1533-position model. The record is from RNAcentral.
GGGCGUAAAGCGCGCGUAGGCGGUUUCUUAAGUCUGAUGUGAAAGCCCCCCGGCUCAACCGGGGAGGGUCAUUGGAAACUGGGAAACUUGAGUGCAGAAGAGGAGAGUGGAAUUCCAUGUGUAGCGGUGAAAUGCGCAGAGAUAUGGAGGAACACCAGUGGCGAANGGGCGGCUCUCUGGUCUGUAACUGACGCUGAUGUGCGAAAGCGUGGGGAUCAAACAGGAUUAGAUACCCUGGUAGUCCACGCCGUAAACGAUGAGUGCUAAGUGUUAGGGGGUUUCCGCCCCUUAGUGCUGCAGCAAACGCAUUAAGCACUCCGCCUGGGGAGUACGACCGCAAGGUUGAAACUCAAAGGAAUUGACGGGGACCCGCACAAGCGGUGGAGCAUGUGGUUUUAAUUCGGAAGCAACGCGAAGAACCUUACCAAAUCUUGACAUCCUCUGACCGGCCUGGAGACAGGGCUUCCCUUCGGGGCAGAGAGACAGGUGGUGCAUGGUUGUCGUCAGCUCGUGUCGUGAGAUGUUGGGUUAAGUCCCGCAACGAGCGCAACCCUUAAGCUUAGUUGCCAGCAUUCAGUUGGGCACUCUAAGUUGACUGCCGGUGACAAACCGGAGGAAGGUGGGGAUGACGUCAAAUCAUCAUGCCCCUUAUGAUUUGGGCUACACACGUGCUACAAUGGACAGGUUACAAAGGGCAGCGACGCCGCAAGGCCAAGCGAAUCCCAUAAAACUGUUCUCAGUUCGGAUUGGAGUCUGCAACUCGACUCCAUGAAGCUGGAAUCGCUAG